RNAcentral lists this unclassified non-coding RNA (244 nucleotides) under plant metagenome. Its description in RNAcentral is "partial contains small subunit ribosomal RNA, internal transcribed spacer 1, and 5.8S ribosomal RNA". The record is from RNAcentral.
UCUCCGUUGAUGAACCAGCGGAGGGAUCAUUACUGAGUUUACAACUCCCAAACCCAAUGUGAACCAUACCAAACUGUUGCCUCGGCGGGGUCACGCCCCGGGUGCGUCGCAGCCCCGGAACCAGGCGCCCGCCGGAGGGACCAACCAAACUCUUUCUGUAGUCCCCUCGCGGACGUUAUUUUUACAGCUCUGAGCAAAAAUUCAAAAUGAAUCAAAACUUUCAACAACGGAUCUCUUGGUUCUG